GAGGGGGGAGGGCGGCUUCAGUUGCGACUGAAGCCAAGAGAAAGCUGAACACAGUCCAACUGCAGAAGUCGGUGGCGUGUAACUGUCCUCAGCUGGCCUGAGAUCCGCCCUAACUGCCCUAACGGCUGAUGUAGCUGCACAGUGGUGGUGAGCCUGAGGUAAGCCUCCAGCUAAGACCGUUUGCACUCAGACUCAUUUUCAUCUCCAGCUUGCUCUGUAAGUUGGGUGUACCUCAACAAUAUCGUGGCAAACUACAGAUGGGCCAAGCCGGGAGGAAAACCAAUGACUCUUAAACCCAGGGUGCCAUGGAGACCCUCUAUAGUCCAGGACAGCAUGCGGUUUGCAGCUUGCCUUAUUAUAGAUGCUCUGUGAAUUCUUCCUGGACAUCCGGUCCCUUCUCUCACGGGUCCUCAGAACUUCUGCCAGAUGAGGUUUCUGUCCUAAGUGGGGGAAAUCUGCCUCAGGUUAUCUGAGGGCAGAGGCCGUGUGGACUCAGGCCUCUGUGCAACCAAGCUCCUCUAGGAGAGCCCAUCCUCACCCUGGGCAGAAUGCUGGGCUUCAUUCAUAUUCAUCGUCACUUGGAGCUGCACCUUUUCUCCAGUCUGUGCAGGGAUGUGCAUCACCAUGGCAACGCUAGAGGUGAAAUCACUCAAGUGUUGGCAAGCAGGGUUUCUCUCUGGAGCUUGGAAAAAUGGAGAGCAGGCUUGUGGUGUCACAGAAAGGAAGAUGCCCUUAGAAGAACCCAAGCAUUCUCUAUUCCAUUUGGGGACUUUCCCUUUAAAUAAAAACUGAACAGUAAAUGGAAAGAGAAAUGUUUUUAGUCUCUGGAUCUGCUACCCCAGUGAGCCUACUUGGAACGGACACGCUGAUCCUUCUGGCUUUCCUAACCUGCUGUACCUUGUAGACUGUUCUGCCUGGAGUUACUAUUUUAAAGUAAUGAAGCUGGGGCCCACAAGUGUGAUGUUUGUGCCUGUUGGCCAAUUUCUGGCUCUUUGUCUAAUUUGGGGGACUAGAAGAUAUUUGCUAAAUAACUAUUUGACAGGCUACUGGUGGCUAAGGGCAAUGAGGACAUGCUCACACACCCAAGGGGUCUUGAGAUAAGCUGUUUCAGUACCUGCUCGAGGCAGCUUGCCCUGAGACUUCUGAGUACAUGCAGCAGCCCCUGGAAAUGAUUUUGACAGCAUUGCCUUUGGGCAGGAAUGAUGAGGAGGAGAAAGGAGCCCAUUCAACAUAAACUCAUCAAAUGCUUGACUCAAUGAUGAAGUCAGUGCCUUCUUCAUCCAAUGGUACCUCUGACUGGGGAUCAAGUCUUCAACAGGCCAGUCUCUUGAGGGAGGACUCUUCCCAUCCAAAUCCUAUCAGCCUCCAAGGAGUGAGCCCCCGGACUGAUAGAAUUGCUCUGGAAAACUGCCUGGCAUUCUCAAGGAGAGGCAGUCUCUUUCUGGGGAGGCAGCUCCAGGCAGCAUCCCCUCCUGGGCCAUAGCUAAGCGAGAAAAAUCUGAGCACUUUUCUCAUCAAGCUCAAAUCAACUGCGGGAAGCCUCAGAGGGGCCUUCUCUGUGCUUUCCUAGUCAUCUCCAUCUCGACAGUCCUACAGGUUCUGAACGUUAAUCAGUGUCAUCGCGAGUCUGCUGAUGUUACGGAGAACUUAAUUGGUUCUUUGGAGGAAAAUGAGUCACCAUCAGGAGAAUAAGCUGCAGGGCAGGAACACACAAGGGGAAAGGGAAAUGAAACUGUACGCGGAAAAGAUCAAGUGUGCCCUUAUGCUUCUCCUAGGCUGCAGUCCCAGAUGAGCCCACUUUUGCUGAUGGGGCUUAAAGAGGUUUUCAGAACCACGAAGACAAAAGGUAUUGCCUUCUCCUACCCCCAUCGCCUUUGUUUCCCUCUCUCCUUUUCUGCAUGUGCAGCCAUAUCCAGUGGAGGGGGAAGGGGACAGACCGUCCGCCUGACUGUCAGAGUUGAUCAUUGCUGACCUUAUCAAAACACAGAAUCAAUACUCUCUCCUCCCAGCAGUCCAGAAAAAAAUCAUAAGGAGUUUGAACUGAAGCAAUUUGAAGUGCAGAAUUGCAUGAAUCAGGAGACAAGGCAGUAAACUGUUGGGCCUCUGAAUCCUUCCAAGCCCUUCCUAAGAGUCAGGCAAGACCAAUAACAUCACUUGAAAUAACUGUUUCUGGGUGGAGAGGGAUCCAAAGAAGCUUUUGAUAACCAAGCCCACCUCCUGGAGAAAUGGUUUUUUAGGUUUGUGGUAGCAGGGUGCUUUUGAAAGAAGCCUGAAGGAGGGUGGGACUAGAGGCUGGGACCAUGGUCCUCACCUUCCUCAGGACCACUCAGUAGAACCUUUCCAGGCCUGGCCCUGGACAACUCUAUGGCCUUUUACAUUUGGAAUUCCAAGCUGGGUCACACCUCCUUCCCAUUUCUUUGUUCUUUUAAAAAAUAUUUUCUCCAGAUUUACUUUUUCUUUCCUUUUGAGU
Molecule: small RNA, 2470 nt
Filed under: Rattus norvegicus (Norway rat)
Lineage: Eukaryota; Metazoa; Chordata; Mammalia; Rodentia; Muridae
Description: uncharacterized LOC108351773
Source: RNAcentral